Molecule: small nucleolar RNA, 70 nt
Filed under: Trypanosoma rangeli SC58
Lineage: Eukaryota; Euglenozoa; Kinetoplastea; Trypanosomatida; Trypanosomatidae
Description: Trypanosomatid snoRNA TB6Cs1H4
Rfam family: Trypanosomatid snoRNA TB6Cs1H4
Source: Rfam by way of RNAcentral
AGUCCCAGUUACUGGCCCUUGGCGGCUGUAUACAUCGAUGCCGCUCCACAGGAUACCCAUUGAGGCCAGA